This 1863-nucleotide long non-coding RNA is filed under the name Mus musculus (house mouse). RNAcentral describes it as "long non-coding RNA chr7:110221751-110223614". Lineage: Eukaryota; Metazoa; Chordata; Mammalia; Rodentia; Muridae. The record is from RNAcentral.
AGAGGCGCUGAGUUGCCGACUGGGCUGACCAGGUCUGUUAGGGCAGCGCGGCCGCGGCCAUGAGGGGCUUGAAAGACGAACUGCUCAAAGCCAUUUGGCACGCCUUCACCGCGCUCGACCUGGACCGCAGCGGCAAGGUCUCCAAGUCGCAACUCAAGGUGAGCCCCCUGCCGGCGCUCUUCCUGUAGGGCACGGGACCCGCGGCGGUGUCCGCAGGGAGGGCUGCUUGGGAAUGUGGCGGGGCGGCGGUCCUCACUCUUCCUCAGGCCUCCGGGCGGUGCGCGGGGGUGGACGCGCUCCUGCGGCUCCCGCGACGGCCGAGGUGCGCUCCGAGAGGCGCCGCGGGACCCGCAGAGCGUCUCCCCCCGCCACGGGCUGUAUGGGGGCCCGGGAGCCUCAGGCUCGCCUCCGGGACGCUGAGCAGAGCCUCCCCGCCCCGGCGUCCGCAGACCUUGGGGCCAGUGAGAGCGCGUGCGGAGCGGCCCCGGGUCUUACGGGCUCCCUGCAAAGGCCAUUGCUUUUGCAGAGUCCUCCUCAGGGCUGCCUAAAGACUCCAGAGUAUGAGGUACGCAUAAAGGGAUACUUGUAAGUCGAGUAAACCCCAAAGUGGCACCCAGCCAGGAGAAAUUGGCAGCGUCUUGAAAAGCCUGAAAUAUAGAAACAGACAAGAGGAGCCAUUCAACAGGCAUUUUUAAAAUAUACACAUUUUGGAUCUGAAUGACUGGGUUUUCUUAGCCUCUUCUAAGAAAAAAAAUUUCCGAAGUUUGGGUUUGCUUUGUAUAUUUUGUGUAGUAAAUGAGGAAGUUCUUUUCAGUAGUGACUUUUAUUGCCAGCAGGAUCUGGCGGGCUCACUUGUUUUCCUUUUGAUCUUAUUCAUUAAAUCAUAGUCUGGAAGGACCGAUGGAAAUUAGUCACAUACUUUUACUUUAAAAAAAGUAAUAUACGGGGUCUUGGAGAGAUGGAUGCUCCGUGGUUAGGGGCGACUGCUCUUCCAGAGGUCCAGAAUUCUGUUCCCAGCACCCACGUGGGAUAACUCACAUAGCUAUAGGGGUAGCCUAUAAUUCCAGCUCCAGGGGCUGCCUCUCGCGUCUGUGGGCAGCAGCACACACAUUUUCACAUGCACGCUCAUAAUUUAAAAAUAAUAUUUAAAAAAGUUAAUAAUAGGUUUUUCUGGUGUACAGUUCAACGAGUUUUAGCACACGUAGGAAGUAACUAUCACUAACUAACUAGGAUUUCAUCAGUUCUGUCCCACAAAGCUUUGUCAUACUGCCCCAUCUCCAACAGGUGGUAACCACGGAUCUGUUCUAGUCUUCCUUUUUCAAGUGUGAUAUGAAUUGGAUCUUCUGAAACCAGCUUCCUUUACUCAGAUGAAUGCCUUAGAAGUUAACCUAUAGUAUGUGUAUUGUUAUUGCUAGGCUAGUACAUCUUAUAGGUGUGCCAUAGUUAUCCAUUCACUCUUGAAGAUUUGUUAUUUCUAGUUUAUUCGUGAUUCUGAAUAGAGCUGUAGGACUUUGUUUUUACUUUUACCUAUUAUAAUUUUUAGAUAGUGUGUAGCCAGGUUUUCUUUUAACCAUUCUGAGGUAUCAGAGUAUUUAUUUAGGCCAUGUAUGUAUAAUGUAAUGAUUGAUAUUGAUAGAUUUAGGGUUGCCAUUUUAUUAUGAUUGGCUUCUGUUUUCUUUCUUUCUUUCUUUCUUUCUCUCUCUCUGUAUACUUAGAAUGACCAUUUUGCCACUUUAAGGGGAAUGUAGAAAUCUUAUGCCAUGUAAGAUCCAUUACUCUUCCUGCUUUAUGUUGUAAUUAUUGUGCUUAUUACUCUACAUACAUUGAAAAUAUCUUCCUCCUCAUUCCUCCAACCCUAACUUU